UAGUAAUCGUAGGUCAGCAUACUACGGUGAAUACGUUCCCGGGCCUUGUACACACCGCCCGUCAAACCAUGAGAGUUGGCAACACCGAAGUCGGUAGUCUAACCGCAAGGAGGACGCCGCCGAAGGUGGGUUGAUGAUUAGGGUUAAGUCGUAACAAGGUAUC
This 163-nucleotide ribosomal RNA is filed under the name uncultured bacterium. RNAcentral describes it as "partial 16S ribosomal RNA". It matches the Rfam family "Bacterial small subunit ribosomal RNA", at positions 1336 to 1500 of the family's 1533-position model. The record is from RNAcentral.